GGUAUUUUGACCGUGCAAAGGUAGCAUAAUCAUUAGUUUUUUAAUUGAAAGCUGGAAUGAAAGGUUGGAUGAGAAAAAAGCUGUCUCUAUUUAAUUUAUUUAGAAUUUUAUUUUUAAGUUAAAAAGCUUAAAUUUAGAUAAAAGACGAGAAGACCCUAUAGAGUUUUAUUAGUUUUUUUUAUAGAGUUAAUGGUAUUUUUUGUCUUUAUAGGAAAAAUCAAUUUAGUUGGGGUGAUUGAAAAAUUGAAUUAACUUUUUUUUUAUAUUUACAUUAAUAAAUGGUUAUUUGAUCCUUAAUUUAAGAUUAAAAGAUAAAAUUACCUUAGGGAUAACAGCGUAAUUUUUUUUGAGAGUUCAAAUCGAAAGAAAAGAUUGCGACCUCGAUGUUGGAUUAAAAUAAAAUUUUGGUGUAGAAGCUAAAA
RNAcentral lists this ribosomal RNA (422 nucleotides) under Laparocerus mendax. Its description in RNAcentral is "partial 16S ribosomal RNA". Lineage: Eukaryota; Metazoa; Arthropoda; Insecta; Coleoptera; Curculionidae. The record is from RNAcentral.